AAUGGUGUGUGUGUGUGUGUGUGUGUGUGUGUGUGUGUGUGUAUAUAUAUACAUAUAUAUAUAUAUACACACACACACACACACAUAUUGUUUAAC
This 96-nucleotide microRNA precursor is filed under the name Pelobates cultripes (western spadefoot toad). The record is from RNAcentral. Lineage: Eukaryota; Metazoa; Chordata; Amphibia; Anura; Pelobatidae.